RNAcentral lists this ribosomal RNA (253 nucleotides) under uncultured bacterium. Its description in RNAcentral is "partial 16S ribosomal RNA". It matches the Rfam family "Bacterial small subunit ribosomal RNA", at positions 524 to 776 of the family's 1533-position model. The record is from RNAcentral.
UACGUAGGUGGCGAGCGUUGUCCGGAUUUAUUGGGCGUAAAGCGCGCGCAGGUGGUCCGUUAAGUCCUGUGUGAAAUCUCCCGGCUCACCCGGGAGGGGGCGCGGGAUACUGGGGGACUGGAGGCAGGCAGGGGCCGGUGGAAUUCCCGGUGUAGUGGUGAAAUGCGUAGAGAUGCGGAGGAACACCGAUGGCGAAGGCAGCCCCCUGGGCCAAUACUGACGCUCAGGCACGAAAGCGUGGGGAGCAAACAGG